AGAGUUUGAUCAUGGCUCAGGAUGAACGCUAGCUACAGGCUUAACACAUGCAAGUCGAGGGGCAGCAUGGUCUUAGCUUGCUAAGGCCGAUGGCGACCGGCGCACGGGUGAGUAACACGUAUCCAACCUGCCGUCUACUCUUGGACAGCCUUCUGAAAGGAAGAUUAAUACAAGAUGGCAUCAUGAGUCCGCAUGUUCACAUGAUUAAAGGUAUUCCGGUAGACGAUGGGGAUGCGUUCCAUUAGAUAGUAGGCGGGGUAACGGCCCACCUAGUCUUCGAUGGAUAGGGGUUCUGAGAGGAAGGUCCCCCACAUUGGAACUGAGACACGGUCCAAACUCCUACGGGAGGCAGCAGUGAGGAAUAUUGGUCAAUGGGCGAGAGCCUGAACCAGCCAAGUAGCGUGAAGGAUGACUGCCCUAUGGGUUGUAAACUUCUUUUAUAAAGGAAUAAAGUCGGGUAUGCAUACCCGUUUGCAUGUACUUUAUGAAUAAGGAUCGGCUAACUCCGUGCCAGCAGCCGCGGUAAUACGGAGGAUCCGAGCGUUAUCCGGAUUUAUUGGGUUUAAAGGGAGCGUAGAUGGAUGUUUAAGUCAGUUGUGAAAGUUUGCGGCUCAACCGUAAAAUUGCAGUUGAUACUGGAUAUCUUGAGUGCAGUUGAGGCAGGCGGAAUUCGUGGUGUAGCGGUGAAAUGCUUAGAUAUCGCGAAGAACUCCGAUUGCGAAGGCAGCCUGCUAAGCUGCAACUGACAUUGAGGCUCGAAAGUGUGGGUAUCAAACAGGAUUAGAUACCCUGGUAGUCCACACGGUAAACGAUGAAUACUCGCUGUUUGCGAUAUACAGCAAGCGGCCAAGCGAAAGCGUUAAGUAUUCCACCUGGGGAGUACGCCGGCAACGGUGAAACUCAAAGGAAUUGACGGGGGCCCGCACAAGCGGAGGAACAUGUGGUUUAAUUCGAUGAUACGCGAGGAACCUUACCCGGGCUUAAAUUGCAGAUGAAUUACGGUGAAAGCCGUAAGCCGCAAGGCAUCUGUGAAGGUGCUGCAUGGUUGUCGUCAGCUCGUGCCGUGAGGUGUCGGCUUAAGUGCCAUAACGAGCGCAACCCUUGUUGUCAGUUACUAACAGGUCAUGCUGAGGACUCUGACAAGACUGCCAUCGUAAGAUGUGAGGAAGGUGGGGAUGACGUCAAAUCGGCACGGCCCUUACGUCCGGGGCUACACACGUGUUACAAUGGGGGGUACAGAGGGCCGCUACCACGCGAGUGGAUGCCAAUCCCCAAAACCUCUCUCAGUUCGGACUGGAGUCUGCAACCCGACUCCACGAAGCUGGAUUCGCUAGUAAUCGCGCAUCAGCCACGGCGCGGUGAAUACGUUCCCGGGCCUUGUACACACCGCCCGUCAAGCCAUGGGAGCCGGGGGUACCUGAAGUGCGUAACCGCGAGGAGCGCCCUAGGGUAAAACUGGUGACUGGGGCUAAGUCGUAACAAGGUA
RNAcentral lists this ribosomal RNA (1486 nucleotides) under metagenome. RNAcentral's name for it is "bacterial SSU rRNA". It matches the Rfam family "Bacterial small subunit ribosomal RNA". The record is from RNAcentral.